ACGCAAAAUUGGAAUUCUAUUUCAAUGAUGUAACUCUUCCCCUCUUCGCUCUCAGUUCUCUCCACAACCCAGACCAUCUUCUCCCACAACUCAACGCCUCCACCUCCUCCAGCACCACCCAUCUCUCACUCACGACUGUUUAUCCCCUUCUCUCACCAUCAGUUCUUCUCUCUCACAACCUGUGGUUCUUCUCAGAUUCUACUCUCAGUUCGCAUUGCCAAUGGAGUCGGCCGAUCUAUUUUCUUUUUUUCUCCCCGAUAUGGGUUUUGGUCUUAAUAGCCCCCAUCACCAGUCCUUUAUUACCGGUCACAACUAACGUCCUUCGCCGGCACCGCUAGAAAGAUUUCACCGACCGUCAUCAGCUGCCAUCACCACCGCCGGUAGUAACCGAAAAUAAAUAUUUUAAAAAACCCCAACAGACCCCACUAGCCAUCACCUCGUGGGUACCAUGGCUGAAUUCAUCUUCAAAAUCGAUUGCAAUGGUGCGGCAUUGAUGGAUUUGUGAAACCACAAAGUGGGGAGAACCAUAGAAGAUCAAAUUCUACUUGAGCUUUGUCUCUUUAAAGAAUGUCAUUGGCAGCUUGGGGGAGGUUUGAUAUUGUGGGUCUUCUAAGAUAGAAGUUCAAUAGCAGUUUUGGGUAUAUGGGGACAACCAAAGAUGCAAUGGACAUAGAUUAUGAAUCAAUCUUUUGCUAUGUUGUUAACAACCACACCAUUGUUCAAAUGAACUCACAAAACACCGGUGCCACGAGUACACAAUUGAAGAGCUCAUCACAAAGAGCUUCAACAACGUCGACAUUGUCCUCUUUAGCAAUCAGAUUGGCCAGAUGAAUAUGGAGAAAGGUACAUCAUGGACAACAGUACCUAAUCUUUCUCCCUCUCUCUUUGGUAUUGGAACACCAAUGUUUCACUUUUUUUAAAUUUUUUUUCCUUUUGGGUUUUCAAUUCUGGCAGAUUAUUAUUGGAACACCAAUGUUUGAAGAAAUGCUUAAACUGAACUUUGGAUUGGAUGUGUGGCACCCAAUUGUUUAUGCACGUACUAUGCUAUUUACAGAUUUCUUUUAAAUUUUGUUGUGAAUUGUGAUAUCAAUAUUUGGUUAAGAUUAAUACUUUGAGC
Long non-coding RNA from Quercus lobata, 1117 nucleotides. RefSeq lists it as uncharacterized. The transcript is spliced from 4 exons. Lineage: Eukaryota; Viridiplantae; Streptophyta; Magnoliopsida; Fagales; Fagaceae. The record is from RefSeq and is a predicted model, not a curated record.